This 72-nucleotide transfer RNA is filed under the name Mus musculus (house mouse). Its description in RNAcentral is "tRNA-Gln". The record is from RNAcentral. Lineage: Eukaryota; Metazoa; Chordata; Mammalia; Rodentia; Muridae.
GGAGAGGUGGCUCAGUGGUUCAAAGCCCUGGGUUUGCUCCAGAGGAUCCAGGUUCAAUUCCUAGCAUCCACG